Long non-coding RNA from Pomacea canaliculata, 975 nucleotides. RefSeq lists it as uncharacterized. The record is from RefSeq and is a predicted model, not a curated record. The transcript has 2 exons. NCBI's taxonomy places the organism in Eukaryota, Metazoa, Mollusca, Gastropoda, Architaenioglossa, Ampullariidae.
CAUGCCCUAGAGCUAAUGUCUCGGCAAAAUUAUUUCUCAAUAUGCAGAAACAGUCGUUAAAACAUUGCCGGGCGGUGUAAAACGUCCGGGGAGACGAAAUUAUGUAAGCCCCAUUAACACAUGCAGUUAAUAAAGCCCUCAUGAUUUAAGGCUACUUCUAGAAAGAACCAGAAAAUGAAUAUUAAAAUCUGAAUAGAAGCUGGGAGUGAAAAGGUUAAUGCGUCCUGCGUCAGGAAGAACAAAAAGGAUCGACGGGAGGACACUGGCAGGAGACGGUUGUGAAGAAACCGAGCAAGAAGGUGCAGGUACAAUAAUACUCCCUCUGCUUGGGCAGAGCUCUACACAACCAGCGAUCCAGGCAUGGCCUCCACACUUCACCUCCUGACCCUCUCCUGCGCUCUCGUGACCUUAACCCUUGGCUGCGGGUUCGACCGGUUCUACCGCUGUGACCCCAAUGCCUGGUCCUGCACGAAUCGGGGCGGCUACUGUGACGUCAGAGGCGGGCGAUGCACGUGCGUCUCGCCCAACGCCGGCUACAACAGCGGCCCUGGGGGUCCCUACCCUGGAGGUCCCAACAAUGGAUAUUAUCACAACGGUCCCUACGGGGCGUACGUGGAGCCAGAAGGCAACUACUACGCCCAGCGUGGCCCCAUAAACGAGCAAAACAUCGAGGGGACGGGGAAUGUCAUGGUAGAAAUGGCCAAGGUGGCCAGCAUGAUCAGUUAACCACUCGUCAUUACCCUCGGGAUGAAAACAAACGGAAAACUGUUGCCUCUAAUGACUACUUAGGCCUAGAAGUGUUCUUUGAAACUGACUUUUGUAAACUUGACAAACAAAGAGGACGGAAAUAGAUUUCUCAAUUUUCAAUUUUUUAUAUAUUUUUAGUGUUUUUAUCGGUUUUGUAAGAAAAGUUAUGUGCUGUUAGUGAUAAGAAAUGUGUUUUGAUCAUAUAUAUAUAUUAAAGAUUUAACUUGA